Molecule: RNA transcript, 4342 nt
Organism: Scylla paramamosain (green mud crab)
Lineage: Eukaryota; Metazoa; Arthropoda; Malacostraca; Decapoda; Portunidae
Exons: 5
Source: RefSeq, a predicted model, not a curated record
CUUGCGUCCCAAAGGGUUUUUUUUCCCCCUCUUUUUCUCCUGUAUUCCUCACCGCUCGUUUAGGCUGUCGUCUUUCGCUUCCCCUUUCUCUUUCUUUUCACCACACUUUCACCACUCUCUCUCUCUCUCUCUCUCUCUCUCUCUCUCUCUCUCUCUCUCUCUCUCUCUCUCUCUCGUUUUGGAAUAAAUUAUCUAAAAAUAUCGUGUUUAUUUACGUGAUUUUAUUUUUUUCUCAUGCUUUUCUUGUCCCCAUUUCCUUUCUCUCAGCUUCCAUUUAUUUUUCUUGAAUAAAUUCUAAAGCGUUAAAGCAAGAGAGCAAGAUACCGAGAGAACAAUAUCUGCGUGUAAUGUUCACCACCACGGUCUUGGAGAUCACGUGUUAGACCAAAGCGAGCUAUAUAUGUAUGCACCUCAGGAAAAGCGUAGAGUUCAUGGCAUCCUGAUCAGUGAGUAAGCUUGGGAUUUUUCUUAAACCACUCAUCUCAUCCUGUUUUCCAUGUAGGAGGAGGUCAGGGAGAAUAUAUCUGCUCCCUCUUCAUGAUCGCCUCUCUAUAUGUAUGACUGAGAUUUUUCACACACCUCACCUCGUUCUCUUGUUCAGGGAGAUCAGUAACUGCUCGCUUAUUAAUUAAUUUUCACUGCAACAUACAACAAUUCACAGCACUAGAAACAAUGUAUGAAAUAUCUGUGAGCGUGUACAAGAAACGAGGGGAUUAAAGAGUAUGUUCUGUAAUUUCUACCCAGUAUAAUGUUUGGAGGCGGCUGUCAAACAAGAAGAGAUGUCUCAGUGUGCCAAAUAGCAGUGAAAAAGUUAAGAAUCCUUGGCAUCGGAGUGCAAAGCGAAAAUUGGCUUGUCAGGCGAUAGCUAGGGACGAUACCUCACAUACUACUUACUCAUUCUUUUUCUUUUACUACUUCAUCAUUCCUUUCUCUUUUGUCUUGGUGGUCCUUGUCCUGCUCCUCGUCACUCGCCGCCACCUCUCCCCGUCAGCUUUAUUUAUUGGUGAGUUUCAAGACAUGCAUCCCAAAUUUUCUCUCUCUCUCUCUCUCUCUCUCUCUCUCUCUCUCUCUCUCUCUCUCUCUCUCUCUCUCUCUCUCUCUCUCUCUCUCUCUCUCUCUCUCUCUCUCUCAUUCAUCGUUGCAUGGACGUCUUCAGUUCCUUUUCCGCUCCAGCCAUGUUCGUCCCGUUGUCUGUACUAACAAGUCAAUGGUAAAUAAUGGCAAAUCUAGUCGAGCUCCGUUCGCGUAGCCAUGCGCGUGGAGGCAUCCCCAACACUUCACUCUGCUUCUUUCCACUUUGACCAAGAACGGUCUGAAGUAAUCCACUCCAGUUGACGAGAAUGGUGCCAGCAGGGGGGUUACUCGGUCCUUAGGCAGGUGUGUUUGUCGGUGUAGUUGAGGAGUCCUGUUGUUGUGACAGUUUGGAGGAAUCCAAUAAUUGUGACGUAACAUGCUCCCAUCCUGUUGUGUCAACUGUCAAGUUCUCAUGCACUCUUGUAGAAUGUUUUGUAAUAUGAUCUCUCCGUAUGUUUUUUGUUUUGUUUUUUUCGGAAUCAGAUUCUGAUGAAACUUUUCUCUCACAUUCUUUCUCUCCAUUUUUUUUUCUCCAUUUUCUUUCUCGAUUUUCGUUUUUGCUGAUUAACCUUUUAAAGGUUUGAAGCGAGAGAGCAGGAAACCGAGAGAACAAUAUUUAAUUAAGAAAGGAUAGUUAGUGUACAUGCGUGCCUAUGGGUGGUAUAGUCCUGUAGCAGUCUGAAGGUCAUCCUGUCAUCCACAUCCUCCUUUUUACUGUCCUCCUUUAGGGAUUCUUGCUUCUUGCACGUAAACGUAUUGUCUUCACUUACUUCCUCAUUCUUUCUUCGUCUUGACGGUACCUGUCUUGCUCUCCGUCACACGCCGCCGCCUCGCCACCACGGCUGCUGUUGGUGCUGCCGGCAACUUCAUUGUUACCUGUCGAACUUCAUUGCAGUCCUCGCCGUUGCAUUCCCACAUGCGUCGCUGUCAUGGCACCCUGGCACCCUACAGCCACAACUGCUGCUGCUGUCUUUUAUCCUGUAACAGGCGUGUGAGCGGUGUUGUGAUCGUCGCCUAGAGGUGUCCAUGUUCCGGGAGUCGCUGCCCUUCCAGUCCCCCUCCGCUGUCUGUCUGAGCAACCUGGGUGAAGAGCGGCGGACGCCGCGUUCCAUGUUAAUGUUUGCUGACCAGCCGUCCUCUCUUAUUUUCUCGGUCCUAGCGAGGUGAAGGAGGGACGCUUGCUUCUGCGGCAAACAGAAGCAAUCCACGAGGACGACAGGAAGAAGCCGCCUCCUUUACUAACUAGUAGGGACUGGAGAGGCAAAGAGGACGGGGCUGAUCAGCAAACGGAUGGAGAAACCAAGAGUAUGCCAUCUCGUGUCUCCAACCCAACGGGGUGGUUGUAAGCACCGAGCAGAAUCAGGGAGCCAAGACGCAAGUAUGGGGAUAGCCCGCGAAUGCCCGGCGAUGUCUUUAGUACGAAAACUCUGGGAGGGUGAAGAGGCACGUGGCAUUCAGCGGGUGAGAACUCGCAUGUUGCUGGAAGACAAGUAAGUGUUGCAACUAUGGACAUCUACCACCAGAGCGGUAGCCGGCCAUUACGAAUUACCCACACCAUUUUGAGAUGAAGAACCGGAUCUGCCAAACAACAACAACGAGAUGGCGCAGAAACGCUUGAAGGGACAGACGACGCCUCGCUAGGGAUUCGGAUUUCAGACGACGAUAUGCAGGAGAGAGAGAACACUUGCUGUUAAAGAGCGAUGCCAGCGUCUGAACGUGAAGGACCACGAGGAGUAACCUGGUGCCUGCCUCACCAUCCACUCAUGAACCCAAACAAACCUGAGAAAGUGAAGGCUUUGUUUGCGCAGCGAAGUACAACAACGUUUCCCUCAAAGACUGAGUGAUGCAGGUUCCUGACCUAAAUAGCAAACUGGUGGGUGCCCUUCUGCGUUUCCGAAGUGAACGGAUUGCCGCGAUGGCUGAUGUGAAGGCAAUGUUUCUCAUCAAGCUGGCGUGACCCCUCUUCACCGAGACUCCUUAAGAGAUUCCUUUGGUGGAAAGAUGGGAACCUAAGGAGGGUACGGCGCGCCUACCGAAUGACGGGUAUGUCUUUUCGGGUGUGUAUGGAGUCCCUCCUGUGCUGCUUACGCAUUGCAACGAACUUUGACCGACUGUGAGGAAGAAUAUGGCAUAGCUAGUAGUUACUGAACAUGGAGGGGCUUGUACGUAGACAACUUACUUCUUUCAGUACCCUCCACCGAAAAGGCAUCCAGAUUUACUCGCGAUCUUUGGCUCACAAAGAGAGGAUUUCUGCUAAGUGGGUUAGUAGUAACCAUAAGGAGACAUAGUACAGUACUGUGUCCUACAGAGAGAGACAGGAAUAAGAAUAGAUCUGAGUAAGGACGCACUGGCUACAAAACGGGAUCUGGAAAGGGAUCAGUCAAUCAACUAGCUGUGAGGGGAGUACUGAGGGUGAGCAGCUCCGUUCAUGACCCUCUUGGACUGGUCAGUCCUGUAAUGAUUAAGGCGAAGGCGAUGAUCAAUUAAGGCGAAGGCGAAGAUCUUUCAGGACGAGUGCAGCCGAUAAGGAAGGAUGGAUGACCCCCUCCUAAAUCACCACAGGUCCUAGUUGGUUGGCUUGGCUGGAGGAGUUACCAGGACUGACGGUCUUUCAAGUUCCCCGAUGCUACAGGCGGGAGGACAUGGGAGAUGUUUUAUCACUUACCAACCGCAUCAUUUCAGAUCAAACAGGCUGAGAUGGUGAUAUUAAGAGUUGUUCAAACCACAACGUGCAAAGAGGAGAUGAACAUCCUAAAGUCAAAAGUCAAAGAAAAAAAACUACAGAGGAAACAUUCGAUCUGUCGAGUGGAACCCCUUCAUGGGUGAGGGUGGAUCCAGCCGUCCUCCAUGUGGACGGCUGGACCACGCACCGUUGCCUGCUACAAGUCGGUAUCCCAUUUCCAUGCUCAUACGGAGAGAGAUCAUCAUAUCACAAAAUUGAUUCUACAAGAGUGCAUGAGGACUUUACUUGACAGUUCACGCAGGAUGGGAGCAUGUUACGUCACACUUACUGGAUUCCACACACACCACCUGCCUGAGGACCGAGAGUAACCCCCAUGCUGGCACCAUUCUCGUCAGCUGGAGUGGAUUGCUUCAGACCGUUCUUGGUCAAAGUGGAAAGAAGCAGAGUGAGUGAGUGGGGAUGCCUCCACGUGCAUGACUACACACAUAAGAACAUAAGAAAUAAGGGAAGCUGCAAGAAGUGACCAGGCUUACACGUGGCAGUCCCUGUAUGAAAUAUACCUACCUAUUUUCUAUUUAUUAUCCC